GAUGAACGCUGGCGGCGUGCUUAAUACAUGCAAGUCGAACGGUAAGGCCCUUCGGGGUACACGAGUGGCGAACGGGUGAGUAACACGUGGGUGAUCUGCCCUGCACUUCGGGAUAAGCCUGGGAAACUGGGUCUAAUACCGGAUAGGACCACUGCCUACCUGGGUGGGGGUGGAAAGCUUUUGCGGUGUGGGAUGGGCCCGCGGCCUAUCAGCUUGUUGGUGGGGUGAUGGCCUACCAAGGCGACGACGGGUAGCCGGCCUGAGAGGGUGACCGGCCACACUGGGACUGAGAUACGGCCCAGACUCCUACGGGAGGCAGCAGUAGGGAAUAUUGCACAAUGGGCGCAAGCCUGAUGCAGCGACGCCGCGUGAGGGAUGACGGCCUUCGGGUUGUAAACCUCUUUCAGCACCGACGAAGCGCAAGUGACGGUAGGUGCAGAAGAAGGACCGGCCAACUACGUGCCAGCAGCCGCCGUAA
RNAcentral lists this ribosomal RNA (478 nucleotides) under uncultured bacterium. Its description in RNAcentral is "partial 16S ribosomal RNA". It matches the Rfam family "Bacterial small subunit ribosomal RNA", at positions 28 to 523 of the family's 1533-position model. The record is from RNAcentral.